CAGCAGCCACGGUAAUACGUAGGGUGCGAGCGUUAAUCGGAAUUACUGGGCGUAAAGCGUGCGCAGGCGGUUUGUUAAGACAGAUGUGAAAUCCCCGGGCUUAACCUGGGAACUGCAUUUGUGACUGGCCGGCUAGAGUAUGGCAGAGGGAGGUGGAAUUCCACGUGUAGCAGUGAAAUGCGUAGAUAUGUAGAGGAACACCGAUGGCGAAGGCAGCCUCCUGGGCCAAUACUGACGCUCAUGCACGAAAGCGUGGGGAGCAAACAGAAUUAGAUACCCCUGUAGUCCCUGUCUCUUAUAC
This 301-nucleotide ribosomal RNA is filed under the name uncultured bacterium. Its description in RNAcentral is "partial 16S ribosomal RNA". It matches the Rfam family "Bacterial small subunit ribosomal RNA", at positions 509 to 807 of the family's 1533-position model. The record is from RNAcentral.